UACGGAGGAUGCAAGCGUUAUCCGGAAUGAUUGGGCGUAAAGCGUGCGCAGGCGGUUCGCCAAGUCAGGUGUGAAAUCCCCGGGCUCAACCUGGGAAUUGCGCUUGAAACUAGCGAGCUUGAGUGUGGCAGAGGGGGGUGGAAUUCCACGUGUAGCAGUGAAAUGCGUAGAUAUGUGGAGGAACACCGAUGGCGAAGGCAGCCCCCUGGGUCAACACUGACGCUCAUGCACGAAAGCGUGGGGAGCAAACAGG
RNAcentral lists this ribosomal RNA (253 nucleotides) under uncultured bacterium. RNAcentral's name for it is "partial 16S ribosomal RNA". It matches the Rfam family "Bacterial small subunit ribosomal RNA", at positions 524 to 776 of the family's 1533-position model. The record is from RNAcentral.